RNAcentral lists this ribosomal RNA (282 nucleotides) under uncultured bacterium. RNAcentral describes it as "partial 16S ribosomal RNA". The record is from RNAcentral.
CACUAGUGAUUCACGGGCGGUGUGUACAAGGCUCGGGCACAUAUUCACCGCGACGUGUCUGAUUCGCGAUUACUAGCGAUUCCGCGUUCACGGGGGCGGGUUGCAGCCCCCGAUCCCAACUGGGGCCGGUUUUUAGGGUUUUCGCUCCACCUUGCGGUUUGGCAUCCCUCUGUACCGGCCCAUUGUUAGCAUGUGUUCCAGCCCCAGGGGCAUAAGGGCCGUGAAUUAACUUGAACUUCAUUCCCCCAACCUUUCCUUCCGGGUUUUAAAAAACCCGGCAAU